Molecule: long non-coding RNA, 10466 nt
Organism: Gallus gallus (chicken)
Lineage: Eukaryota; Metazoa; Chordata; Aves; Galliformes; Phasianidae
Exons: 3
Source: RefSeq, a predicted model, not a curated record
GCUCACACAAUAAAACUAUCAUACCUAAUUCAGCACAACUGGCAAGCUUUUGAGAGAAGGGCCUUGCGUGCAGGCUGAUUUACGGGUUAACCCACCAGAAGGUACUCCCUGUAGGUCAGGUGUGAUGAGGUCAUUGACAGGGCAAUAGCGAUGAAGUUUCUGACUGUAAAUUCCCUGUGUUUCAAAAGUGGUAACAGACAACUAUAAACAAUUUGGAUAAGUGUCCCCCAUAACUCAAGAAAAAUAUUCUUAUUUUAUGUACUGCGUAAAGGAUUGCCUUCUUUUCUUCCUUUCCCUUGCCAUAUGUGUAAAAUAUGGCUACUAGAACAGAUUUGCUCUCCACACUGACAGAAGUUUGAGACUAUCUUCUUAGUACUUUCAAGUUCAUUUGCAAAAUUUGGUGGAGAUUGCUUCAAUUAGGGUCAUCUGGUCAUGUAUCCCUUGAUCCUUUGAUCACCAAGGCAGAAAUACCAUGUUGGUAAUCUCUGGGCUACCAUUUGGGUUAAUGAAUCGGCUUGACUUUAAUUCCAGCCCAGAUGUAAUCUUUUAUAGCUUAAUGAUUUGUUCUAACAUGAACUCCAAUUGAAUGUAAACAGUUUCUUUAUUUAGAGUGAAAAAUCUUUUUUAUAACUUGCUUUUCUUCCUAAUUAAUUCUAGAGCAAUUAAAUCAAACCUUGAUCUGUGGCAAUCAAGAUUAAAUCAUAGUAUAGGUUAGGCUGCUAAUAUCGUCUUUGAGUUCAUUAUUAUCAAGGCUAACAGUAAUCAGCAAAGGAGGGAGAAACUGAUGUAGCGAGGGUUGCAGAUCUGAGGACUUGCUCUCGUUUUUAAUAGCUGAUCUGAUUUAAUGUAUGAUAAUACUUGUACUUAUUUAGUAACUGUUUUCCAAGGAACUCAACAUACUCUCCCAAAGUUAAUUUAUUCUCACAACACUGAUGCGCAGGAGGUAAAUAUUAUCUCCCAGGGACACAGAGAAGUUUUGGGGCUUAGAAGAGUUAUGAGUUGUAUACAGUUGCAGUUUCAGGCCCAAAUCUCAACUCCAUUAACAAAUCAUUAGCCAAGAGCCUCAUUGUCGUAUCUUGUUCUGCCAAGGAAGGAAUGGCACCUCAUCCACAAGCACUCACAAAACAUCCUGAAGAAAAUGGACUUGUUGGGCAUUGUAUCCAUGCAAUCCUCAGAGUUAAAAACUGUCUGUGCUAUUAGCGAGCUGCCUCAAUAGCUGUCCCUACAUCACAAUUCCUCAUGAGGACCUGCCAUGUCAAGGUCCUCAAAUCAAGAAGGAUUUGCAUUCCCGGAGAUUAAGAAAAUUUGUUUGUAAAUUGUUAACAAGAUGGAGGCUGGUGAAUUAGACCCAUGUUGUAGUUCUUCUUAGUUCUGCCUAAAUAAUCUGGCUUGCCAUUACUACCAUGUACCCUGUACCUUCUCUGCAAAUCAUACCAAGGUCAAAAGGACAAUGAAAAGAACUCUUCACAGCCUUGAUGUCCCAAAUCAAGGCACUUGAUGUCCCAUACCAACCCCAGCUGAACCAGUUAUCUGACUGCAUCCCUGUAUAAAAUUCUAUUAUCUCAUGCUGUGGCAGAUUAAUUCUGACUGCAGGAAACUCCUGCCCAUUUGGGUCAUCUCUGCAUAGUAUAGCAAUGGUGUGGAAGGGACUGAAUCACCCACGUUCAACUGCCAUCAAGGAAAACACAGGAAAGCAUCACAAUGUUGUUUGUACUCCAGUUAUAUAUUAGCUCAGGAAAAAAAAAAUUACAGCAGUGCCAUUUUCAAUUCAGUGUUAUGCUGGAAAGGUUGCAAAUUAAUUAGAAUUAUGCCUUCUUUGUGCCAAGUGAUAAUUUACUGCAAUUAAUUAUCAAAAGAUCUACUGCUGUCAAUUACGGUACUUGCUCUUUGCGGGGGGAGAAGCUAUUUACGUAUAGCUGAAUUCUGUAACAAAGUUCCAUGUUACUUUUAUUGUUUUCAAUUAAACUAUCAUCAUUUGCUUUCCCUCUGCCAAACACAAUAAAGACUUGUUAAGAACUAAUCAUGCUACUGUGACCUUUUUUUUAAAUCCAAACACUAGCUAGACCUGCACUGAGUCAACACUCCUAUUGUUACACCUGCAAAUUGUACAUAGAGAGGAGCAUACUUCAGAAUUAAUGAGCACAGCUGUGGUCUCUCUUACAUUCAACACUUGUAAAAUAGACCUCUUUAAAGUGCCAUUAUCACAAUAUUGAUAGAGUUAUUUAUAGUACUGCAAACGUUCCCAGUCAUAACAGAGUCCUUGUUAUCCCCCACAGCAGUUCAUGUUGUUGCCACCUCCUGGACUCAUUCCACAGUAUGCGAUAAGGCACCAGGUGGACAAUCCUUCACAAAUGAACUAUAAAAGACAUUAGGAAAACUUCUACAUAAGCAAGUUUUAUAGCUGGGAAUAGGUCAAGCUGUCAAGAUCCAGCCUGUGUAAGACUUGUCAUCUUCCUCUACUGUAUGAUUUCCCAUAUCGUUAAAUGAUAUAUAUGUGAAAUGAAAUUACAGGCGCCUCAAGUUGCAAAUUAUCUGGACAGUAUUGUCCAAAUUAGCGCUGUUUUUUGCAGUUACUAAUACUGUUUUAUCAUAACUCAGUAAAACAGAUGUAAGUUCAAACUCUUGGUGUCAGUCGCUGAAAACAAAUAUCACAGGUGCCAACUUUGGUUGCUAAGGGAAUGCAAGCUUCUUGGGCUUCACAGUAUGUGUGCAAACAGCUAGAGAUUGUCCAAGGCAGAGGUUCUGCUGUCAGCAGGAAGGUAUUUGCCUUUUUCAGGUGUCGUAUUAGUCAGCUUGGGCUCCUGACACACCGUGGAGUUAUCAGCCAAUCUGAUCCAAACAAAGGCAGCAGGAGACCUCAUCAGAGCAAGUUCUCCCACCUCAUAACUCCAGCACUGAGCCUUUAUUUGUGAUAUUACUCUUACUGCAAUCUUUCAUAUUAUUCUAUGGUUAGGUUUUGUAAUGUUUGGGUCUGUGUCCCUCUAAGACCAGGACGUGUCUCCAGAGCCAGUAGACAAGUGACUGUGGAAUUCAGCACAACUGCUACAACCAUAUGAGGAUUUCCAUGUUCUGCAAACAGCCGUGUCUUGAAUUUAGUAAUGGGGGGCUUGAACCGAGCAUGUCUCUUUUGUAGAUAAGUCACAGAGUUAUGUCACUGCGGGAACAUCAGAGGUCACAGAUUGAGGAUGAGCAUGGCCAUCUUCAUGGAUUUUCCCUCCUGCUCAUGCAAGUGGAGGAGGAACAAGUCUGGGGCAAGUCUUGAACCUUACAGCCAUUACUACUAACAGCUUCACUCCCUCUUUCUCAUUCCAAUGCUUUACUUCUCCUGUUAUAGGGCAGGAAAUAACUUUGCUUCUGAUGCACUGUCCCUUAUCCAAGACAAACCAUUUUAUCGUAAUUCUCCCUUGGUUUUGGAAAGAAUUGCAGAAAAACCACAAGUCUCUGAAGAGUAAAAAUUCAACAAACACAUUACUACUUAUGAAUUAUUUCCCCAGAUCUAUCUUUUUCAUAUCUUAAGUGCUUUGCAGCUAAAACAUCAGCUCUAAAAUAAACUAAUAUUCUGGUUUUGCUCUAAAUUAAAGAGAAUGCUUGCAUUGUACAAGACAGCUCAGAGAGCUCACCUAGUAAUGCUUUACUCUCAGGUGUUAUUCGUUCAGGCCUCACGCAGGCAAGUAGACUUGGGUUGUGAUUACCAGCUGAUGGCUGUCUGGGUUAUGUGAAAUCAUUUGCCAGCUGUCCUACAUCCCUGGGGAAGAGAAGAAGGAAGGUAGCUCUAGCUUUCCUUAAGAUGUGGACACAUGUUCAGUACAAAUUACUCUGAAAUGAGUCAUUAUUUUCCUAUGGCUAACAAAUAAUAAUGAUUCAACAUUUGCAUGUCCCUGAAUUGCAGUGGAGUGGGAUUACAGAUGGUACAAGAUGCAUUAGUUUUACAAAACAUAUUGAAGAUUUCAGCUUUGUGAUGGAAAGUGUUCUGUCAUCGCUUAACUUAUAUGCAUCUGAAUACCAGCAUAGUGGGGGAGCCUGGAGAUAUGAGAACCACUAAAGAUGCAGAAAAUAGGUACACAGAAGUAAAAUGCAAAUUUUCAAAUCUCAGCUUUGCAUUCAUUUUUGUAAGAACUGACCAGCAAAGAUCCAACCAUCCUGCCCAGAAAGUCUAUGAUGGGGCCCCAGACAGACCCCAAAUUGUGUUUGUACAUUAAGUCCCACUGGCAAGCAUUAGUGGGAACUGCAAUCAUGUAUGGAUGUGUGAAGAGCCCCAGUGGGAGCUCUGUAAGGUAGUGUGUGGCUAUGCAGAGAUCACUUCAGCCACCACAGUAAAAUAAUCUAUGGGGAGAAACCUUGAAGAAUGCUGUGGAUAAAUCAAAUAAUUUAAAGAAACUGUCACAUGAUGGAGGUUAAAAAAGAAACGGGGAAAUAAAAACAGUGUUAGAGUCCAUUCACUGAGCUGAACAGUAAACAAGAACUAGUCUUUAGAUAUUAAAUGGCCAGGACUUUCUGAAAUGGUUCAUUGCUGAGUUCUCUAACUUAGAGAGAGCAUCAGCACGACACAACAGCAAGGGGACCGCAACCAGGAGUUCCAGGCACCCCGGCACCUCUCCUGUCAGAAGGAAGCUUCCCCCAGAGCAACAGCAGUCACAGCUCGCAAAAUCCCUCCUCGCUUCUGCCAAUGCUGACCACCGCAGCUGCAUAAAUAAAUGCUAAGGGACAUCUUUUGCCUACUUAAAACAGGAGGAGCUACUGACAGAUAUGAAGGGCUAAGAACUUUAUCCUGAUUCCUAAGAAUUUUGUUUCUUUGUUUUAUUAUUACAGAAAUAAGGGACAUGGCAAAAAGGUCUCACUGACAAGGCGUGAGUUAAGAAAAGCUCUGAUAAGUAUUGCUCUGCUGAAGAAUACGGUACAUGAAAUGGUGGCAGCUCUGCAAUAGGUCAGUGAUAAUGAUGCUCCUGAGGUUAUGCUACACUGACAGCAACCCUAUAAAUGUCAAAGCCUUGCAGAAUCUCCCUGGGAAAAGCCUCCUGCUACCUGACAAGCCUCUGGCAGCCAUUCUGCUGGGCAACAAAAAUCUCUAAAGAGUUUGUUCUCUUUCUGCAGGCAAACUUCAGGUUUUUCCCCGAAGCCAUUGCCUAGUUUGAAAUUCUGCCGUGGUUUGGUGGAUACCGGUCUCACUUACGCUUAGAUGAAAGAACAAAACCUUUCCUGACAGUUGCACAUAAAUAGGUGUAAUGAACAAUGAAAUCAUCAGUUAACAGAGCAGACAGCAAACAUUGCUGGAGGGUUUUAGGGUGGUGAUAAGAGCCCAUAUGAACAACCUAAACUGGUGGAAUAUGGAGUGGAUGAUAACUAAAUAACUUGUAUAAAUCAAGUCUAAUUGCAAUCACAAUCAUUGGGUUCUAUUCCUUCUUCUGGUGCCCAUCAUCCACCUGAACUGGAAGUUCUUACAGAGUCUUGUAUAUCCGUGUGUGUCUUGCUGGCUUCAAACUCAGGUGCAAAUUGUUCCAGCAAUACUGCUCUGGUACAUCUGAGGCAACGCUAUCCAUAAGACUGACAGCGAAAGCUCUUAUCUUGUGAGAUGUCCUUUUCCAAUGGUCACUGACCAAUAGCCAACCUAUUAAUCAUGGUAAACCAAGCUUGUUGGGUCCGUGCUGGCCAAAGCACUUGAGAGAAGACAAAAGGCAUCGUGUUCCAGCUGGCACCUGCAAGUAAUUACACAUGGCGAUAGAGGUACGCAAAAGAACAUUUUGAGAACUGAUGCUAAGAAGAAAGGUGCAUUUCUUUUUGGAACAGACUGAACUAUUUUCUGAUCUCUAGGUGCCUUAGGGUCUUAGAAAUCAAAGUAAAUAAAAUCACUUGCCAGAUGUUCAUCUGGAAAAGUGACAGAUCUUAAGUUACUUUUCACCAGUUCUGGAAGCUGAUUCCACUUCCCACGCGAUACCAUAUUUUAUAAAGCUAUUUUAUCAGCAGUGGUGCAGGGCAAAUGCUCCAAAAUCAUAAGAAAACUGAAUAUGGGGGCCCACCUUUUUUCCCAAAGCAUUUUAUCUACCUGCCACCACAUCUUUCUGUCUGUCUCCGAUGUCUGAGGAUAUCAGGACAGAUACGAUGCCUAGUAAAAACCAGACAUAGUUUUAGGAGAAUCUAAAAUGUGGUGGCUGCCUCUUUCCUGAAAACAUCCUGAAGAAAGGAAGGAAGAAGAUAAGAUGACUCCUCUGGACAGUACCAGGCAGACACAGCCAGAGUUUCACCGCUGGAAGAUAAACUAUCCCCAUCAGACCACUUUCCAUUGAAAGAAAGGAAGAAGACCAAUUUAUGAUCACAGCUUGAGAAAUAAGUCUCCUUCAUAUCAUAACACCUCAUCCUGGACCUGACAGUUGUUUCAAAGAUAAAGAAAUCCCUCAGACUGCGCCUCUCCCAGCAAAUCAUUUCAGCUUGUGUUUCGUUUUAACUUUCUGAGUAGAUCAGUGGGACAAUUUCCUGCGUAGAGUUAAUUGCCAGCACCACUGCAAGCUCAAAAGGGCAGGUCAGCAGCCACUGGAUUGAUCUCUGCCUUAGUGCCUGAGACCAUCUAGCUGUCCAGGCUCUGCCGUCAGUGACAUUUCUGUGCCCUCCCAACUUUUGGCAUCUGAGUUACCAUUUAAUAAUGCUGCCCAAUGUCAUUUUUUGCUUUGGCGUUUUAUUGAAUUACCAGUAUCUCUGGGCACCUCCAUCUGUAAAAUUGGUAGAAACAACUGACACCUGGUAGUUACGUUUCAUGGGCUAACAAGUUUAAGAGCAGAAAGGGUCGUUCCAAGCUUUUACUCUGACCUCCUACACAGAAUCAGCCUGUGCUUUUUGAUUUUAUAGCAUUUAGAUGCCAGUUUUCAUCUCACACAGCAGGUAUUUAGGCAAAGUUGAGCUGUGCAUAGUCUGAAUUUAGACAGAAGGCCCCCAAGAAGAUGCUACAGCUGAAGGAAAUCAGAUGAAGCCUCUGCUUCUCUCCCUUCUGCAAUACACUCAGCUAGGACCAGAUGCACGGUGUGGUGGUAUCGUAGAGCCUCCAAAUGUUUUAUGAUUGACUGUGGUUUUGUCAGUUCUUGAGCUUUUCAGAGGAAGGAGAGAGGACUCUGUUUGUAGAAAGCGAAGGAUGCAUAGGAUACAUGUCUGGGAACUGCUGAGGCAGGUAUGUAAGGUCAUAGAGACAAGAAGCUGUGUGAGCAGCCAGACAAGUAACUAUCAGCAUUUUCUCAUGGGAAUCGAUUGCUGAGGCAGUACUGCUUCAGAGAAAGAGGUCUGGGGUGAAUUUUCAGCCUAGCAUUCUGUCUGUGACCUGCUCUGAUGCAGGACUAUCUUAUUCACACUGCAAAUAAAAGAGAAUUCCAGGCAGGAGAUUCCCUGAGCUGCGAUCACUGCUUCUCCUUCACUGGAGAGCAGAGGCACCAGGCUCCAGGAGCCAGCUGCUUCCAGCCAGCAGGCAGCAAGGGGCAACCCAUCUGCAGCGUGGGGCUGCCUCUCAGUGCUUUCCCAUAGCUCCACAUCCGUGUAGAAACCCAGUCCUUACCUUUUGAAAUCAUUUGUUAUUACAGAUACAUAAACGUAUUGUACUUGCACACCUGGCCUGUGUCUGUAGAGCCCAUGAAAUGUGUUAGACUUGUUAUUACUUGAUUAGUCCUUUGCACAGCUGUACGUUCCUGCUCCCAAACACUUAAGAAACAUUUCUGUUGAUGUGCACAGGCUCACAGCUUUGAAGCCUAGAGAAAGUCCCUCGAUGUACUACAAAUCACUAUGUGCUGUUGUGCCAGCAUUAAAUGUAUUAACUUGUGUUUGGUUACAGCAGCUCUUCUGGUGUACUUUGAAAAUGUCAAAAACCUCCGUACCGACUUUGUGCCUUGCAAGUUAGACUUCAGCCAUUUCUGCUAUUCAAAUCUAACUUCUCUCUUGAGUUUGCUCGACUGGCUUGCAGAUAGCCGUUCUUCUCUGAAAGAUUAAGAGUUUCAUCAGUAUCUAGCAGAUGCUUCCAGAGUGAUCUCACAGAUACAUCCGUGCACAUUACACCCAUGUCACGUCUCAGCCUUCUUUCCAGUAAGCUAGGCAGAUUGAGUGCUUUAAGUCUUCCACCAUUAAGCACUUCCUUCAGCCCUGAAAUCCUCUCUGUGGCUCUUUUCUGUACCCUCUCCACUUUUCCAACAAUCUUUUAAAACUGCGAGCACCAGAAACUGCAUAAUCUUAUAUUGUCUGUAUUAAAACCAAUUGUGUUUGAAUGGGCUCAGCUCAUCAAGCAAUUGAGAUCACUUGGAGUAUCAUUCUCAUCAUUGUCUGUCACUCCACCGAUGUUCCUGUCAUCCUCAAAUUUAUCAGCUGUGAAUUUACAGUGUUUACAUCCAGCUCAUUGAAGAAAACAUUAACUAGCAUCUGACCUGAUGCUGAUCCUGGUAAAACUCUCCCAUUUGAUAACGCUUCCUGAUUCAUAGCUAGCUUUUAACAGGCUGUUAGCCAAUUCCUAAUCUAAUUAGUGCAUGCUCUGUUGCUAUUUCUAAUGUUUUUUGAUCAGAAUAUCACACAGUGUUAAUUCUAAUCUCCAUAAAAAAUGAAUAUCGCGUCUUUUCAUUGACCUUUAUCAUUCAGUCUUUACCUUCAUCAUAUUAUUUGAUGCGCCUCAUCAAAGAAAGAAAUUGGGUUUGUCUUAUAAGGCUUAUUUCUCCUAAAAUUGUAUUUACUACCAUUGAUUAUAUUUCCAUUCUUUAUUGUUUCGAUCCCGUGGCGGCGAUUUCAAUAUAGGGUAACAGCUGAUGUGUUACAGGCCUGUCUGUGGGGUCUGUGCCUGUUAUAAACCCAAGCAAAACUAUUCCUUGAACCCGCUCCUUGAAAACUGAUACUCCUCAUAGCAGCGGCUCGUUGUUUAUUUAUAUUUAUAUCAUCAGGUGAUUAAGAAUGGCUACUUGCCAUGCGUAAGCUGCAAACAAACUACAGCACUAUGUGUGUGUUCGCUCCUAUUCCCCGCCUCUGCUUUCCAAGCGCUUCCCAGUGACCACCGGCACGGAAAUCAUUGCAACCCUACAGCUCCAGAGAGAGCUCCGUGCCUCCUGAAGCAUGUCUGAGGAGAACACCGUGAAAGGGACGAUGAUGAAAUAUCAGCUAUCAUGUAACUAUCUACAAGUUAGAUUUCUACAAAGUGAUUCCACUGAAUUGUAAUUAAGGGUUUGAAAGUCGAAUGAUUUUAAGUGCUAGUUUUAAUUACCGCUUGGUGAACUUUAGUGUGUUAGAAUUGUCACAACUUUCCUUUAGAAUUAGUGUCAAGCCAGGCAAUACAGUGGGAAAUUAUUAACUCAUACUUUGGUUCAGCAAUUAUCUGCAUUACAAGGUUUAUGCAAUUAGCUGUUUAAGAUGUCAUUAUAUUUUGCCAUCUGGUACACAGGAGUUUAUGCAUAUGAACAGGCACGUGUUGAAGUGAUUUUCACUAUAUGACUCUUGAUCUCAACCCAAAUCAUCACUAUAAUGAGUGGAAGACACAGUGUACAGUACAUUAGUGGCAGGUGCAUACUAUCAACUUCAUUUUAAUAGAAGACUUUCAUGUUUCCAUUUUUAAAGUAUUCUGCACAAGUGCUGAAAAAUUAAUUGCUCGUUUGCAAUUUAGCAAAAACUGAAGACAUGUUAUUGCUAAAUGCUAAGGAAUAUCAGUUUUCAGAAAAGAGGCCGCUAAUUUAAGUUCUUUCCAUCUGUAACUUUGGGCCAAUUUCUGCUUGAGACAAUAAGAAACUCUCACCAAAGUUCAGCUUAAAACACGCUCUCAUUUCGCAGUGAACAUGGCGAGCUGCCUUUGAUAGUCUCGGGGCACCAAAGCUAUUGCAGAGUGAGCUGCAGGGAUGCCUUCAAACAUCCCAACAUCCCAUGUGCAGCAACCUACAAUGCUGCGGGUCUCAGCCUAUGUGCGCGGUGCUGUGAGCCACGUCCUCACUCUUCUUCCAGCCCGUCUGGCCGCAUCGCUCUGCCUGCUGGCUCACAGCUGAGGCAUGGAUUUAAAACUGGGGAGGAGAAAAGGUACUGCUGUCAACAAGGAGAUCUCUGCUGCCAGGCAGGACAAAAUGUAAAUAUUAGUAAUGACAUCACUGCGUACUUAGAUAAUACCUGGUAUUUCUGAUGCAUACUGAGUCUGGCGUUCUAAAAAUAUUUGGAAUCUUUAAUUUAUUAAAUUGCAUGCAGAUAUUAGCCUCGUUUGACACAAGGAGACCGGGCUCUGCAACUGCAGGAGACCUCCCCGGGCACGGGAAGGCUGUGCAGAGCCAUCAGCGGGACUGUAUUCGAGCGAGCGUCAGUGCUGUCCCCUAUAAGCAGGCUGUAGCUGCAGUCCUAUUGUUUAGCUGUAAAAGCAUUCAGUAGUUUGGGGCAGAAUGAGGGUCAGGCAUUAGGGAGCGGAGAGGACAAUUCCAGCCACUUUCUCCUCCCAGAUUUACUAAGUGCUAAAAGGACAGCUCGUAACACAAGUUGCGCUGCUCUGC